This 304-nucleotide long non-coding RNA is filed under the name Elaeis guineensis (African oil palm). RNAcentral's name for it is "long non-coding RNA (EGUI_LNC000107)". Lineage: Eukaryota; Viridiplantae; Streptophyta; Magnoliopsida; Arecales; Arecaceae. The record is from RNAcentral.
AAUCUUUUUGUCAAAAGUUGUCCGAUGAAGGGCUCUCCGAUGCUUAAGUCAGUCGAAAAAAGAACACAGUCGAAAGCCAAAAACGAGAGCAAAAGCUUAUAAUAAGGAAGCUUACCAGAGCCUCCAUUGUUUAUCGAUAUUUAUAGGGUAGGUGAUGUCGUUAUUGUGUAAUUCGCAUCCCUAAAUAUUCGGGAGGAAAGAGAUGAGACGGUCUACCCGUCUUUACACAUACGAGAAAUCACUCACUGACGGACAAGAGGUGUCGACAACGUGAGCUUUACUGCCGGGCUUUCGGCGGGUCCAC